This 233-nucleotide long non-coding RNA is filed under the name Panax ginseng (ginseng). Its description in RNAcentral is "long non-coding RNA (PGIN_LNC005597)". Lineage: Eukaryota; Viridiplantae; Streptophyta; Magnoliopsida; Apiales; Araliaceae. The record is from RNAcentral.
UUAGAAAUGCAUGAAUAAACCAUUUGCUUGUGUUUAUGUGAUUAGGAAGGAAGCAUGAACAUGUUGAACCUACUACCAAGCUUUGAAUGUGAAUAUUGUCAAGAUACCUUGAGGUUUAGAAUUUGAUAAUUGUGAUCGUGUUUGAUGAUACUCUUAGACUCACUCAUGUAGCAUAAACGUAUAUACACCAUGAUUGUAUAUCAUAUUUCAAGUAAAGCAUAAACGAAGCAUAU